GCUUGGUCAAGGCUGCGUUGUUCAGCCAUUGGUGCUGUGCAUGGUGUCAGCUGCAUGGAGCUGAAACCAAUGGCUGCAGCAGCAGGAUAUCUGACGCUACCCCUCCCUCACUCCCUACUUGCGUAGCUGUUGCGCUUGUCAGGAAAAUUAUGGUUUUGAGACAAAGUGCCUGCAACCCCAAGUUCAGAAAAGACGGUUAGUAAAUGUGAAUAAAAGCUGGCGUACAACUGUUCUGCAGCAGCACCGCUCAGAGUGAAUGAGAGUUUGUCUGAUAAUGCUCCUAGUUCUGAGGCUCCAGCUGGCUGCCUGUCUGUGUAGAGAAAGUCCUUUUCGUUCCAAGGAACGUAGCUUGGCUAUUCCAAAAUUGUCUCUGUUUGAAUCCCGGAGUUGGACCUGGUGCAGAGAGAAAAGAUCUUUGCCACCUUCAGGCAGAGCAUCAGUUUGGGAUAAGGCAAAGGCUGUAUGGGUUCCUGCCUUCCCAGGACUUUCAUAUUGGAGUUUGGAUUGGAGACUGUACGAUUCUGUGGCCCUGUCUUGGAGACGUGGUAUGUCCGAGGAGGGCAGCGGACAGCCCUGCUCAGUCGCAGCUGCCUCUUCUUGCAGUGGAACUUCCAAGAACACAGACAUGCAGAAGCUAUUGAAAAUGUUUACAAAGACCUGAUUUUAGCAUAGCUCUGUUAAUUACCAUUAAUUUUACUAAUCUUUCUCAACUCAUAAGUCUGCAUGUUAUAGCAUACCUUUUUCUCUAGCCCUUUCCUGUCAGAAAGGAGGCAUUUGCAAUUGAAAUGCAUCUCCGACUACUAAAGGUCUAUUCUUCAGCCCUUUUACCUAGCGCAGCUGUUACGGCUGUGCAGCCUUGCUGCCUUGUCCUCCACAGGGAGUUCCUGGUUGCUCCUUUCUAGGGAAAGGACUUUUGUCAUGCCGCUGGGCAACUGGGGGGUCUGGAGUUAAGGACAACGUCAGCUCUCUCUUUGCUUCUGCUGUUUGAGACUUAUGCUGUUGAAAUGUCCUUUCUUGGUGAUGUUCUUCUAAUUCAGCCAGCACAUACCUGGCAGUCUGGAGAUCUCAGCCAAAAGCGCCUCGCCAGGCGAAGCCGCGAGCACAAGCAGAGCGUGCCUGCAAGGAUAUUACCAGUGGACUGCAGCUUCCCUUCGAGGCACAGCCUCAUCUAAGGCAGAGGUGAAACAUGAGGCAGACCCGUUCCCCAUCCUGAGCUCGGCAGCCACUGCAGGUCUCUCCCACGUCCAAGACGAAGAGGGCGCUUGGAGAACGUGGCAGCCCCCAGAACCUCCGGGAGGCAGCAGCUCUCGUGGGGAUGCAAAGGAGACGAGUGGGAACGCGCACCCAGCAAGGGGCUUCUGGGGGCGCAGUAGGCACCUUAGGGAGUAGUCUGUGUGUUGCAGUAAUCUCCUUGCCUUGCAUACGGAUGUAGUCAGACAUUUUAGUGAUACGGAAGGCUGCAGAAAUGAUCAAGACAUGAUUCAGAGCAAAUCGUAUCACUCAGCCUUAGGCUGAUCAAUUACCCUUCAAUAACCACCACUUGCUGAGCCCAGUCCAGGCGUUAUCUGUGCUCUGCUUCAGUUCUUGGCUUCCUGGGAGGACUGUGCCCAACAGAGCAAGAGAGAGCUCUGGCGGAAGGCUGCAGCAUUUGCUUGAAUAAUACCUGAUAUUUCUUGCCUUUGAGAGGAAAAGUAAGCCAAAUUAUCCACAUGCAAGAAUGAUACAGACCUGGGAGUCUGCCUCUGUCCAGAACACCGUUCCAGAAUGCAUCCAGCAACUUUUCAGCGCGGCUUUGAACAGAGGAAAGAAUGAAACAGGUUGAAGCAAAAGAAGAGGAAAGGCUUCCUAAAUUCAUUUGUUGAAAGUCUGUCUGAAGUCUCUUGAGACAUCUUUGUAAGUCCAGAGCCAUACAGUCAGUUCACCAGCUUGGGGAGGGGAAAAGGGAUAGUGUGAAUUGACUAGUGAAAAACCUGUGCAAUAAUUAGGAUGUUGGUUGCCAGAAAAGGAAGG
Non-coding RNA from Struthio camelus australis, 2010 nucleotides. Lineage: Eukaryota; Metazoa; Chordata; Aves; Struthioniformes; Struthionidae. The record is from RefSeq and is a predicted model, not a curated record.